AGUGAACGCUGGCGGUAGGCCUAACACAUGCAAGUCGAACGACAGCACAGUAAGAGCUUGCUCUUAUGGGUGGCGAGUGGCGGAUGGGUGAGGAAUACAUCGGAAUCUACUUUUUCGUGGGGGAUAACGUAGGGAAAUAAACGCUAAUAGCGCAUACGACCUACGGGUGAAUGCAGGAGAGAUUCAGACCUUUUGCGUUUGAUUGAGCCGAUGUCGGAUUAGCUAGUUGGCGGGGUAAAGGCCCACCAAGGCGACGAUCCGUAGCUGGUCUGAGAGGAUGGUCAGCCACACUGGAACUGAGACACGGUCCAGACUCCUACGGGAGGCAGCAGUGGGGAAUAGUGGACAAAGGUCGGAAGCCUUAUCCAGCCAUACCGCGUGAGUGAAGAAGGCCUUCGGUUUGUAAAGCCCUUUUGUUGGGAAAGAAAAUCUGCAAGUUAAUACCCCGCUGUUCUGACGGUACCCAAAGAAUAAGCACCGGCUAACUACGUG
RNAcentral lists this ribosomal RNA (492 nucleotides) under uncultured bacterium. RNAcentral describes it as "partial 16S ribosomal RNA". It matches the Rfam family "Bacterial small subunit ribosomal RNA", at positions 29 to 507 of the family's 1533-position model. The record is from RNAcentral.